CCGCGGGAAUUAUACAUGUUCUAAUACGCGUUAGCUCGCUUUCAUUAUGUAACGUCAUAUCCGAAAUCUUUUGGCGGGAAGCUGCUCGCGAGGGUAAAAAAGGAAUAUCCAAAAUGGCAAAUACCAUGGUAUUUGAGGCAAAUUCACCGGCAGUGGUGAAAAACAGGCAAAUUCGUUUGAAAUGAGGAAAACAUAUUAGAAUAUGCGAAAAAUGCACUGGCUAUCAACCAAUCAAAAUCUUGCUUUCUUAUAUAAGGUGUAAUUAUGUCAAA
This 272-nucleotide long non-coding RNA is filed under the name Mytilus galloprovincialis (Mediterranean mussel). Lineage: Eukaryota; Metazoa; Mollusca; Bivalvia; Mytilida; Mytilidae. The record is from RNAcentral.